This 4973-nucleotide long non-coding RNA is filed under the name Citrus maxima (pomelo). RNAcentral describes it as "long non-coding RNA (CMAX_LNC004220)". The record is from RNAcentral. Lineage: Eukaryota; Viridiplantae; Streptophyta; Magnoliopsida; Sapindales; Rutaceae.
AAGGUCUCUUUCCAAUAAUAAAUAACAGUCUUUUAAGACCCCGAUCCAAAUUCGACGAUGCGUGAAUUAAAUUAAAAAAAAAAAAGAGGGGUCAUCCAAGUAACUCAGUCCCUAAAUGGCAUCCAAAAUUUCUCAAGUUCUAUCGGUUACCUGGAAGGCAGCGGGGCCUAAUUGCUCCGGCGAGGCCAACACCAAGGGCAGUGAAGCAACCUUCAGAUAUUGAUGACUUAGAAAGGCGAAGGAUCAGAUACCAAUAAUAUUCUUUCACAAGAAUGACCCUUCACCUUCGAUGCAAGGAAGAGAUCCUGCAAAGGUAAUUUAAAAAGCAGUAAGUAAAGCACUUGUCUUUUAGCAUCCUUUUGAUGUAUAUACACGCAAAAGCAGUUAUUCUUGAUCGAACUGAAACUGAUCAGCUUUUUGUAAAACAUAAUCCAAACCGAUUGUCAAUUCGGUUAAGUUUUUCCGGUUUUAAAUCGUAAAUUUCUUUUUAUUUUAUAUUUUUAAAUUUUUUUUAUAUAAACUGAUUUCUUUAAUUUUUUAAACUGAACUGAGUAGAACGAAACCGUCAAUUCGGUUCGGUUUUUAUGGGAGUAACAAUUUCUUUACCCACCCCUAAGUGUAAUCAAAAGCAAGUAGUUGAGUGAGGCAAAUUUUUGCUUCGGCUAAGGAUUAAUAUGGUAAAUAUACUCAUUCAAGUAGUCAAGCUUACAGUAAAGAUAAAUAGAUAAAGAUUAAUGGCCGUAGUUUAAUUAUGUAAAUACAAUAUACAUAUGCCAUAAAUUAUUAUGAAAUGUGAUAAAAGUUUAAUUAUUUUAAAACGAGAUGAAUAUGUAUAAUUAAACUACAGCUGUUAAUUCGUUGUCUACUUAUUUUCGCGGUUAGUUUGGCUACCUUGAUUUUCUUAAAAAUAAUUAAAAAAAAAAGUUAUUACUGGUUGAUUUAUUAUUAAGAAAAUGAUAUUCUCACUUUUUACAAAGUGAGAACAACACUGAGCACCAAAUACUGUGUUUUGUGCUCAAUAUAAAAACUCACUGUUGUUCUCAAAAUACAACACUCUCAAUCUAUCUCUUGUCUCGCUCCCUCACUCUCUCUUUCUCGUGUUGCCCAAUUUUCUAAAUUUUCCGCAACUCUAGAUCUUCAACUAUAGUGGCUUUUUCCAUAUUCUUUAUUUCUACAAAAUAAAUAUAAUUCAUAUUAAUAAACUGAAAACAACUAAAGAUUGCUAAAGUGAGCCACAUACAAGUAUGCUAUAAUUUAAAAAAGAAAAAAUAUCAUUUAUUGCAAAUUCUUAUAUGGAUUUCGAAAAUGUCCGAUUGCUUGUUUCCUCUAUAAAUUUCUAAUCCGAAUUGAGAAUCAAUUCGGUUAAUCCUUUUCUGGUUUUAACUCGUAAAUUUCUUUGUAUUUUGUGAUUUUUUAUUUUUAUAUAAACUAGUUUUUUUAUUUUAUUUUUAAACUCAUUGCAAUAAACUUUCAAUUCGGUUUGAUUUUUUUUGGAGCAACGAUUUUUUAACCCACCCCCAUUUGUAAUCAAAAGCAACUAGUUGAGUGAGGCAAGUUUUUGCUUCAGCCUUAAGAAUUAAUAUGGGAAAUAUACUCGUUCAAGUAGUCAAGCCUAUAAUAAGGAUAAAUAGAUAACGGAUCAACGGUUAUAAUUUAAUUAUACGAAUGUGGUGUGCAUAUCUAUCAUAAAUUAUCAUAAAAUAUGGUAAAUCUCAAUUCUCUUGAAACAUGAUAAAUAUGUGCAAUUAAAUUAUAGCUGUUAAUUCGUUGUUCAUUUUUUUUUAUUGUCAGCUUGCCUACCUUGAUUUUCCUAAAAAUUGGGAAAAAAAAAACUUAUUGUUUGUGUCAAAGGAUUGCCUUAUUAUUAUUCUAUUUUUUUGGCAAAACUACAAUUAUGCUAAAAUUGUACACAUCAUAAAUAAAAUUAUAAGUAGUUGAAAAAAAAUUUUAAAAAAAGGGAAGAUAGAGUAGCAUCUAUGAAAGUAGUUGAAUUCUUGCAAGGUGUGGAUGUAAGCAAGUAGUAAGUUUGAAUUUUCUGUCAUUGGUAAAUAUUGGUUUUGAUUUUGGGAAAUAUUUUAAUUAUUGGGUUAGUUUUGAUGCAGAAGUAAAUUUGACGUUUGUGAAGUCAAUCGUGAUAUUAUUUUUGACUAAUAAUGGUAACGAAAAAAUAGCAAAUUGUUAUCUUUUUAUAGUUAAUAUAAUAAAAUGUUAUAAUUUGAUAAUUCUUGUAGUAAGAUAGUAACCCAUUACAGAAAAUCAAGCUAAAGGUCUUGUUCAUAGUAAACAUUCCAUAAGUUCUUUCGGUAGAAAUAAGAAUCUCUUUUAAUGAGAAUAUCUCUUUCGUUCAAUAAUUUAAACGAGAAUCUAAUUUCUUCUAUAUUUAUCAUAAUUUUUUUUUAACCAAUGAAAGAAAAGUCUUUUUCUUGCCAUGAAUUUCCUGUCAAAAAUAAUCCUUUAGUUUUAUGUUGUUAUGCAAUAGUAUGAGAAGAUUCUUUUUUAUUAAGUCGAUGCUUUAGGCCUUUAAUAAAUGCAUUAAAGAUGCUACUUAAAAACAAUUGGUUAUUGCUAGAGAUCUGAUCAGUGUGUGUGCGCGGGCGGUUGUGUAUAUACGCGCACGCGUGUGCGCGGGUGGGUGGGUGCGCGUAUGGGUGUGUGUGAGUGGUUUUUCAAUCCAGAAAGUAUCCAAAAUAAGAUGAUGUCCACCAAUUAGUAUGCAAUAACUUAAAAAAAAAGGGGGGGGGGGGGAGGGGGGAGGAAUUUUUAAAGAGUGGGACUAUUGGCACCCCUCUAAAUACCUCUUAAUACCCUUUUAAUUAUUUUAAAAUUUUAACCUUUAUUAAAAUUACAUAAUAAGACAAUUUCGAAUUAAACCCCCACUCAAAAUCAAAUAAUUUUUUCCCCUUAAAAAUUCCUUAUUACUAUUAGAUUUGUUAAUAGAAUCAUUGAUAUUAUCAAUUUAUCAUUGACAUAAAAUCAUUCAUUCCUCUUAGAUUUGUUCCAUUAUCAUGCUCUUCACAUAAAAUCAUUGCUAUUAUAUUUGUUAAUAGAAGUCAUUUCAUAGAGGCAUGUAAAACUUUGGAAAUUCAAAUUAUGCUACAAUAUCUUUAUUAUUGGACUAAUUUUUCUAUGGCUUUUUUCUACAGGUGUUCAUGCUUCCAGCUUCACCUAUUCCUCCUAUUGCGAAUGGUUGGAUCAAGUAUCAUGAACCAUGUGCAGAAGGCUGGGCAACACCAUACGAAACUAAUAUAAGUGCUUUUAAGGAUUUGGUGUUUGAAGUUACCACACAAGAAAUAAUUGAUAUAGCUAGUCAAUGACAAUAUUAGACAAUUUGAUACUAAUAAAUUAAACAAGGGAUCAAAAAUUAAGUUUUAUCCACAAUUAAGGGAUCAAAAAUUAAACAAUGGGGUUUAUACUAAUAAAUUUAAAUUAAGGGUAUUUUUGUCAUUAAAGGGGUGUUAAAAGAAUUUUAUAAUAUUUUUAAAUAUUUUAAUGGGGUUAAUAAAGAAAAGAGGUGUUGAGAGAUAUUUAAAGGGGUGCCAAUAGUCCUACUCAUUUUUAAAUACCUCAUUCGGGCUGUUAGAUUCCCAGGCCCCUUUAUUGACUGCAUAUGAUGGAGUCUACCAUACAUAGACAAAUGUUGGCCUUUAAAUUUUUAAUCCAAAACUUUUAAUCCAGAACUCUCGGAUUGAAAAAGCACCUAUAUAUAUAUAUACAGUAAUAAAAAUUAGGUCGAGCUAUUAGGGGCUUCUCUUUCCUUACCAUAAAAUGUAGAAUAUGGUAAAUUUCUCUCUAUUUGUUAGUGGAGCAGAUUUUCAAAUUAUGUUGAAUAGAUGGUAGAAUUACAUAUAUUACAUAUUAUUCUCAAUAGAUCUCAAAUUAUAAUAUGUUAGCUAGCAUGUUGUAUUACUCCUAAAUAAAAAAAAUAAAAAAUUGAGAUGCAUCCCAACCUUACUUUUUCCAUUUGUUGAUUUGUUAUAUGUUGCUUAAUUUGUCACAAAAAGAAAAUGACAGAAAGAUUUAAUUUAUAACGGCACGUGCUUGAGGAACAAAGCACCAAUCAAUUGUCAAUCCCAUGAAAGAGUAUAUUUGUCGGCUAUUGCACUCUAAAGAUUUUGCAGCUACACCCAAAGCUUAAUUGUAAUCAUUAUUACAUUUAUAAUUCUACUCCACUGUUUUCUAUUGUUUAAUGCAAAAGUUUUGAUUGCCUCUUCUAAUUCACUUGGGAUUUUGUUCGCUCCUAAACAAAAUUUUAGUUGGAUGCAAAUGGGUUAAAUGAAUUUUAAAAUUUUUCAGAUUUUCGCCUUCAUUGCUACAAACCAAGAUUAGCAUCCGUUUCAUCGAUGCUGGUAUUGUCAUCACAAAUACUUCCAGUCAUUUGGUUCAAUAGCGUUUCGUUUAUGCUAAACUUUCUCAUGCUUGUAGAUUGCAAAAAUCUAUUCAAGUUUGAAGAGCUACGUACAAAUUAGGGAUGGCAAACAGCGGGCCUGGGCUGGACCCGAGCGGGCUUGGGCCGGUCCGGACUUUUUUACCACCCCUAGGCUUAAUCCAUUUGCCUUAUGGAAAGGACAAGUGCAAUAAUUGCCUUUGCAUCUAUGGGAUUCUACUCUCUCUGCGCUGCUUGUACAAAAAGUCCACUAUUCGCCCUGAUUGUGGGAACAUAUGUCAAUAAUGCUAUCUUAUUUGACUUGAAUUUUUAAUAAUGUGUACAUAUUAGUUAAUUUUAUUAUUAGGCCACUGCUAAGUUACGUUUAAAGUAACUUAGCACACACACAACAAUAGUAGCAGGCUCUACUAAUGGUACUGUUGCUGUGUGUGGGUGUAUGUUACGUUAAUCGUAACAUAAGGAGAUCCUUAUUAUUAAUUAUUAACUUUUAUUUUUAUAAUCUAUAAAAUUGUUAUAGAUAAAUGUUGUAUCAAUAAGUAUUUUAAUUAAAAAUUUAAAGUAAGUAUAGUGUUACUCAAACACAUAUAGA